RNAcentral lists this long non-coding RNA (552 nucleotides) under Meriones unguiculatus (Mongolian gerbil). RNAcentral's name for it is "lncRNA (ENSMUGG00000005482.1)". Lineage: Eukaryota; Metazoa; Chordata; Mammalia; Rodentia; Muridae. The record is from RNAcentral.
CGGCGGGCGGGCACCGGAUCGGGUCGGUGGCUGGGGCUGGUCGCCGCCACGGGAGAGGGUCACAGCCCACGGGAGGCUCCUCCCGCGGGUGCCUGGCGCUUGUUACACUCUACGUUCCUCGAGAGCCUGCGGGCGCAGGUCGGGCCCAGUUCUCCAGAAUGACAGCUCCCAAGAGUGAUGUAGACCAGGUAGCUGGACCAACAACCAUUAAGACUGUCAGAGAAGCUCAGCUCUGGGUCCCUCCUUAUAAGCUGUGAACAGAAAACGUGCAAACCUAGAGGGGAAAGGAAAGGGCUGCUGGAGUUGGCACUUUUUUUCAACAGUCUUCCACCUACAGGAUGAAAGUGACUCCUGGUACUACUGGCAAAACUAAGGCCUGAGAGGCUUGCAUAAGCCACCCCAGCCAAAGAGACAUUCCGCUGCAGCCCCAGCUGUGUUGUCUCUUGUCCUGAUGUGGCUGUUUACUGAUGUUACUGAUUAGCUGUGUCCUCCAUUAUGCUUUCUUUGCUCCCAGGAUGUGAAACAGGCUGACGCCUAAGCCCUGCCUCCCAG